UCUGCCAACUAGGGCAGAGCGAAGGAGGCAGUUACCUGGAAUGAGACGCAGCCCAGAUCUCCUUCUCUUUACCCCUUUUUCUCCCCAAUUUUGUGGUAUCCAAUUGGUAGUUACAGUCUUGUCCCAUCGCUGCAACUCCUGUAUGGACUCGGGAGAGGUGAAGGUCGAGAGCCGUGCGUCCUCCAAAAUACGACCCUGCCAAGCGGCACUGCUAUUGGACACAAUGCCCACUUAACCCGGAAGCCCUAAUUGUGCGCCGCCCCAUGGCUCUCCCGAUCCCGGCCUGCUGUGACAGAGCCUGGACUCGAGCCAGGAUCUCUAGAGGCACAGCUAGCAUUGCAAUGAAGUGCCUUAGACCAGUGCGCCACUCGGGAGGCCCAGAUCUCCUUGUCUAAUGUAGUAUUGUUGUCCUGGCUGUGGUGUGACAGAAUGAGACGGUGGUCGUGAAGGAGAGCAACAAGAGAUCUCUAGACAUGGACGAGAUCAUCGACAACGUCAAGAAACAGUACGCAGACAUGGCCUCCCGUGCCAGAGAGGAGGCAGAGCUGUGGAACCAGAAAAAGACAUCGCCACCUACAGGAAGCUACUGGCGGGAGAGUAGAUGGUAAAUGAAUGAAUGACCACAAACGUCAUCAAGAUUACUAAAACAAACCGACCAAUCCCAGUCCUUGCUUACACGCAGACAUUGAUUUGCCAUCGAAGCCCCUCCUGACUCUGAAACCCCUCUCAUUAGAUGCCGG
Molecule: long non-coding RNA, 740 nt
Organism: Oncorhynchus gorbuscha (pink salmon)
Lineage: Eukaryota; Metazoa; Chordata; Actinopteri; Salmoniformes; Salmonidae
Exons: 4
Source: RefSeq, a predicted model, not a curated record